UUUUUAAUGGUUGACCUCGGAUCAGGUAGGAAUACCCGCUGAACUUAAGCAUAUCAAUAAGCGGGAGGAAAA
Molecule: ribosomal RNA, 72 nt
Filed under: Pestalotiopsis vismiae
Lineage: Eukaryota; Fungi; Ascomycota; Sordariomycetes; Amphisphaeriales; Sporocadaceae
Description: partial 28S ribosomal RNA
Rfam family: Eukaryotic large subunit ribosomal RNA (bases 12-72)
Source: RNAcentral